UCGUAACAAGGUAACAGGUCUUCGGACGCUGACGAGUGGCGAACGGGUGAGUAAUACAUCGGAACGUGCCCAGUCGUGGGGGAUAACUACUCGAAAGAGUAGCUAAUACCGCAUACGAUCUGAGGAUGAAAGCGGGGGACCUUCGGGCCUCGCGCGAUUGGAGCGGCCGAUGGCAGAUUAGGUAGUUGGUGGGAUAAAAGCUUACCAAGCCGACGAUCUGUAGCUGGUCUGAGAGGAUGGCCAGCCACAUUGGGACUGAGAAACGGCCCAGACUCCUACGGGAGGCAGCAGUGGGGAAUUUUGGACAAUGGGCGAAAGCCUGAUCCAGCAAUGCCGCGUGCAGGAUGAAGGCCUUCGGGUUGUAAACUGCUUUUGUACGGAACGAAAAAGCUUCUCCUAAUACGAGAGGCCCAUGACGGUACCGUAAGAAUAAGCACCGGCUAACUACGUGCCAGCAGCCGCGGUAUAC
RNAcentral lists this ribosomal RNA (469 nucleotides) under uncultured bacterium. RNAcentral's name for it is "bacterial SSU rRNA". It matches the Rfam family "Bacterial small subunit ribosomal RNA", at positions 62 to 526 of the family's 1533-position model. The record is from RNAcentral.